CCGGGAAACCGGGGCUAAUACCGGAUGGUUGUUUGAACCGCAUGGUUCAAACAUAAAAGGUGGCUUCGGCUACCACUUACAGAUGGACCCGCGGCGCAUUAGCUAGUUGGUGAGGUAACGGCUCACCAAGGCAACGAUGCGUAGCCGACCUGAGAGGGUGAUCGGCCACACUGGGACUGAGACACGGCCCAGACUCCUACGGGAGGCAGCAGUAGGGAAUCUUCCGCAAUGGACGAAAGUCUGACGGAGCAACGCCGCGUGAGUGAUGAAGGUUUUCGGAUCGUAAAGCUCUGUUGUUAGGGAAGAACAAGUACCGUUCGAAUAGGGCGGUACCUUGACGGUACCUAACCAGAAAGCCACGGCUAACUACGUGCCAGCAGCCGCGGUAAUACGUAGGUGGCAAGCGUUGUCCGGAAUUAUUGGGCGUAAAGGGCUCGCAGGCGGU
RNAcentral lists this ribosomal RNA (445 nucleotides) under Bacillus subtilis. Its description in RNAcentral is "bacterial SSU rRNA". It matches the Rfam family "Bacterial small subunit ribosomal RNA", at positions 149 to 579 of the family's 1533-position model. The record is from RNAcentral. Lineage: Bacteria; Bacillati; Bacillota; Bacilli; Caryophanales; Bacillaceae.